AUCCGUCGGAACGCGUACGGGGUCCGUCCGAGUCCACCCCGGUGGCCGGAUGCAUGGACCCGCGCAGGGUCGUCGGACAGGAGGAUCUGGCAUG
Molecule: non-coding RNA, 94 nt
Filed under: unclassified sequences
Description: malK-III RNA
Rfam family: malK-III RNA
Source: RNAcentral